GCUCAAAUUUCGAUCAUCUUAGAAAAAAUAGCUACAAGUCAAUAAUGUACAACUAACUGUUCCAGGCUUCUGGUUUUGGUUGUGGACAGUACUGGAGAGUACAAUGGGUGCUUUCAACAAGUUUUGUUGGUUCAGAAAAAAGAAGAAGAAAAGAUUGAUAGACAGGGGACUCGGGCUCUGUGGAAAACAAGCAGGCUAGUUCUUGAGCAAAGUAGCAAAACCUAGUUUUAGUAGGCUGUUGUGAGCUCAUGAAGGGCUGGAUUCCUUUUCUUUCCAGGGAAAUGCUCGGCUGGAUUUAGUUCUUGUUGUUCAGCCAUCCUCCAGGUCCAGGCAGCUACAGGCGUUAGUUCCAUUUGCAGCGCCUCCUCAGCAGUCAACAAGACC
This 384-nucleotide long non-coding RNA is filed under the name Populus trichocarpa (black cottonwood). RNAcentral's name for it is "long non-coding RNA (PTRI_LNC004642)". Lineage: Eukaryota; Viridiplantae; Streptophyta; Magnoliopsida; Malpighiales; Salicaceae. The record is from RNAcentral.